This 164-nucleotide ribosomal RNA is filed under the name uncultured Davidiellaceae. Its description in RNAcentral is "partial 28S ribosomal RNA". It matches the Rfam family "Eukaryotic large subunit ribosomal RNA", at positions 62 to 225 of the family's 3401-position model. The record is from RNAcentral. Lineage: Eukaryota; Fungi; Ascomycota; Dothideomycetes; Cladosporiales; Cladosporiaceae.
AAACCAACAGGGAUUGCUCUAGUAACGGCGAGUGAAGCAGCAAUAGCUCAAAUUUGAAAUCUGGCGUCUUCGACGUCCGAGUUGUAAUUUGUAGAGGAUGCUUCUGAGUGGCCACCGACCUAAGUUCCUUGGAACAGGACGUCAUAGAGGGUGAGAAUCCCGUA